AUGUUGAUUUCUAUAGAUUCAAAUCGAAUAACGCUGUGCGUAAUCAAUCACGACUCGUCCCGGUUGCGGCCGUUUCAAUUAGUAAACGUUUGUACCGGUCGCACACCGACAUACUGCAUCCGAUUCUGGACCCGUACAGCUCAUAAUGCACCGUCCUAUGUGCAUUACGUGCACGUAUCGACCAACAAGUUUAUUAACGGUCGUUCCGUAUUAGGUUUCUCGGGCAAUUCCAUUCGCUCGCUCACGUCUGUCGUCGACAUUCGCGAACGACGAUAACCCCAGGUUCGUUGUGAAAAAACCACAAGGAAAGGGGGGACGCGAAACGUGUUUCGCAAAGGCCGCGAUCGAAACCAGUAUCCCGAGUAACCCGAAGAGCAAUCGACGACAAUCGACGAAAUUAUUGUUUGACUUACAAAUCGUAAACACAAUCGCAUA
Cinara cedri is the source of this 435-nucleotide non-coding RNA. Lineage: Eukaryota; Metazoa; Arthropoda; Insecta; Hemiptera; Aphididae. The record is from the annotation of a GenBank genome assembly.